RNAcentral lists this long non-coding RNA (225 nucleotides) under Musa acuminata (dwarf banana). Its description in RNAcentral is "long non-coding RNA (MACU_LNC009807)". Lineage: Eukaryota; Viridiplantae; Streptophyta; Magnoliopsida; Zingiberales; Musaceae. The record is from RNAcentral.
UGUUGCAAGUAUUCAUAAUGAAUAUUGCAAUGACUUGAAUUCAGUUUGAAUUCAAGGUUCUAUCAAUAUGGCAUAUUGAUAGGGGGAGUUUGUUUAAACUCCGGGAAUUAAGUUUAACUCCGUCAUCAAGUGGUUGUCAUCAUCAAAAAGGGGGAGAUUAUUGAAUCUCGUAUUUUGAUGAUGAAACUACUUGAUAUAUGUUUAUGAUUUAAUCUGUGUUUUGAG